Molecule: ribosomal RNA, 497 nt
Filed under: uncultured bacterium
Lineage: Bacteria
Description: partial 16S ribosomal RNA
Rfam family: Bacterial small subunit ribosomal RNA
Source: RNAcentral
GAUGAACGCUGGCGGCGUGCCUAAUACAUGCAAGUCGAGCGAACAGACGAGGAGCUUGCUCCUCUGACGUUAGCGGCGGACGGGUGAGUAACACGUGGAUAACCUACCUAUAAGACUGGGAUAACUUCGGGAAACCGGAGCUAAUACCGGAUAAUAUAUUGAACCGCAUGGUUCAAUAGUGAAAGACGGUUUUGCUGUCACUUAUAGAUGGAUCCGCGCCGCAUUAGCUAGUUGGUAAGGUAACGGCUUACCAAGGCAACGAUGCGUAGCCGACCUGAGAGGGUCAUCGGACACACUGGAACUGAGACACGGUCCAGACUCCUACGGGAGGCAGCAGUAGGGAAUCUUCCGCAAUGGGCGAAAGCCUGACGGAGCAACGCCGCGUGAGUGAUGAAGGUCUUCGGAUCGUAAAACUCUGUUAUUAGGGAAGAACAAAUGUGUAAGUAACUAUGCACGUCUUGACGGUACCUAAUCAGAAAGCCACGGCUAACUACGUG